Molecule: long non-coding RNA, 399 nt
Organism: Oncorhynchus masou masou (cherry salmon)
Lineage: Eukaryota; Metazoa; Chordata; Actinopteri; Salmoniformes; Salmonidae
Exons: 3
Source: RefSeq, a predicted model, not a curated record
GGGGGUUCCAAAAGCAAUAAUAUUUCAGUUUUUACCUUACCAUGCCAACACAACAGACGGAGACGUCCAUAACACCAGUGGUGAUGGGCGAACUGGAAACCAAAUGACAACAGUCUGGGUCUGCAGCUGCUAUUUUCCGUUGGGAAAGAGAAAUGGCCCUAUUUUUACGAGAAAAGGUAGCUCAUCCACCAUGGCAGAAGAGGAAGAUCCAGACUGUUGAUUGGGAAACAAGAAGAAACUUUGAGGCAUGUUGAGGGACCACUUGCCACGUUGUCCGAGUGCAUUCCUCAGACUAUCCGGUGCAUGGAUAUCCUGUGCCAGUGUGAUGACAUCCUGUACCAGUAUGAUCUGAGUGCAAGCAUCCAGUUGUAGAGACUACAGCAGAUCGAGCCUGUGGAC